Molecule: ribosomal RNA, 164 nt
Filed under: uncultured bacterium
Lineage: Bacteria
Description: partial 16S rRNA
Rfam family: Bacterial small subunit ribosomal RNA
Source: RNAcentral
UAGGGAAUCUUCCACAAUGGACGCAAGUCUGAUGGAGCAACGCCGCGUGAGUGAAUAAGAUCUUCGGAUCGUAAAACUCUGUUGUUAGAGAAGAACACGAGUGAGAGUAACUGUUCAUUCGAUGACGGUAUCUAACCAGCAAGUCACGGCUAACUACGUGUCAG